Molecule: long non-coding RNA, 961 nt
Filed under: Homo sapiens (human)
Lineage: Eukaryota; Metazoa; Chordata; Mammalia; Primates; Hominidae
Description: HSALNT0350693
Source: RNAcentral
CAGGGACUAGGGGCACUGGGACGAGGAGCCUGGGGACGAGGGGGAUGGGAGCAAGGCGAGUGCGGAUCUUUUACGUCUUCACAGGUGGCCUUAACGCCUGCCAUUCUCCACAGAGGGUAGAGUUGCAGGAGCUUCCACUUUGAUUUUCCCACUACAAGACUCACUCUGUUGAUCAAGGAACCAGUUGAGGUUUUGCCCAGUUGCCAGCUUCAAAUACAUACUUCAUCGCCUGCUUGGUGAAAAUGGAGCUGGGCCCUAAAUUGUUUCUCCUUUAAAGCAGGUAUGACGUUAAGCUUUGUAAGUAGAGGGCACUGGAGGGACCCUGCAGGAGGAAAGUGCUUCUCUUCCUGUUCUGCACUUUCUUCUGUUUUCUUCUUGUUCCUGCCAUGUGGCUGCCAGCACACUCAGUGUUGCUCACCCCCAGCCAACUUCACUUGCAAUGCCAUGGGUGGAUCCCCGUGAGUCUUGCAGAUGCUCCACUGGUCAGCAUCCAGCCUCAGCCUGCCCCAGAGAGGUGUUUCCUGCUUGCCAGUCCUGGCCAGGCUCCCUACCUGCCACCUUCAACCCCUCUACACCUGCAGGAGUGAUUGCCCAUUGACUGUGGACCAGCUCUGGCUACGGGAAAACCAGAGAACCUCUCCAUCAUCCAUACUGCACCAAACAGCAUCUCUGCAACCACACCUUUUCCAAGAUUUGAGCCCCAGCCUUGGGGAGGAGGCCAUCUUUCACAUUUUCUCCUUCCUUGGGAACUCUCUGUCAGCCCAGAGUAUUCUUUUGCAUUAUCUUUAGCCCUGUACAGAUAAUUCCAUUAUAGUAAAUAAUCCUUUAUAUUAAACGUUCCUUGCCCAAAUGACUGUGCAGUUUCUGUCUGCUGAUUGAUUGCGCCCUGAUGCAGAAAGGUAAAGUAACUUGACAUGUUGCACAGCUGGCCCACACAAUCACACAGCUGAGACUGCACAAG